This 66-nucleotide transfer RNA is filed under the name Lachnaia gallaeca. Its description in RNAcentral is "tRNA-Cys". The record is from RNAcentral. Lineage: Eukaryota; Metazoa; Arthropoda; Insecta; Coleoptera; Chrysomelidae.
AGUCUUAUAUUCAAUAAUGAUUUCGGAUUGCAAAUCUGAAGGAGGGGCGAAGAGCUUCUAAGGCUU